This is a non-coding RNA of Candidatus Saccharibacteria bacterium GW2011_GWC2_48_9, 138 nucleotides long. The record is from Rfam. NCBI's taxonomy places the organism in Bacteria, Candidatus Saccharimonadota.
UACUUUUCAUAGACAUUACCAGAGACAGUAGCAGCCGAGGGCAACCAACGCUUAAUCCGCUACCGAGGAGUGAAACAAACAUUCAUUCAUUUGUAAGUCUUUGGUAGUGCGAGAACCCGAGACUUAUUUUAUUUCUCG